Molecule: long non-coding RNA, 2198 nt
Organism: Epinephelus lanceolatus (giant grouper)
Lineage: Eukaryota; Metazoa; Chordata; Actinopteri; Perciformes; Serranidae
Source: RefSeq, a predicted model, not a curated record
AUGUAGAGUGUGACUGGGGAUUAGGAGGUAAUGAGAGGCAGGUGUGUGAGCAGGUGGAAGAUCAGACGAUGGGCAGGAGCAGGAACACACAGAGGACACUGCUGGGGUCUGAAAUGACAGCAGAAGUAAUGAAGAGACAAACCACCUCCUACUCAGCCAAAGAAAAUGGGAGGCCCCGGGGCAGACCCAGAACAUGCUGGAGGGAUUACAUAUCUCAUCUGGCCUUGGAACACCUUGGGGUCCCUGAGGAGGAGCUGGAAAGCAUCGCUGGUGAGAGGGAUGUCUGGGGUGCUUUGCUUGGUUUGCUGCCCCUGUGACCUGGAUAAACAUCCUGAAAAUUAAUGGAUGACACAAUACAUGCUCCAGCAUCCCACAAAGCCCUGCUCCUCUAAUAGGAAAUGCUACACACAGGCCCAGAGCCUGCCGCCAGCUGAGUUUCACUUGUAUAAUCCUCCAGACCAUGAACUCAUCUUAAGACCAAGUGGAUAAAAGUGAACAUGAGGAUGACCAUGCAUGAAUGCUGGGACAGUUACACAGGACCCUUUGUCUGCAACAGAAAGCAGCACAUGAGGAAUUUGCACGAGCUCAGCGAGACCCAUUUGAAUGCAGCCUGGAACGUGUGGGACUUACAGUGAGGACGGCAGAGGAGAUACUUGCACACCAAUGUUUUGUAGAGAGCCACAAAAAGUGAGUAAAAACAGCUGCUGAUUUUCAUCAUUCAUAUACUUUUUUUGCACUUUGAGCACCUUUUCUGUGCACAUAUGUCUCAAAUAAAUACUAUUUUUGCAUGUGGACUUUUUUGCAUCUUUCUAUUCAGUUACAUUUGGUUUGCAGGUUUCUCCUCUGCCGUCCUUUCUCGUUCAUCUAUUGCACAGACACACCCAAGUAGGCGCAGUUUCACAGCAGCCCUCGGACCUACCUUGAGGACACUGACAAAACAAAUCAACAUUUAAAACUGACUUACUGAUCCUUUGUGAUCAAAAGGAGAAGAAGCCGCCUACAGGGAAACCACAGAGAACAUUUAACACGGUCCGUUCAUCAAAGGUUUAAGACUACAAAGGAGCUCAUUUGCUGACUGGGGAGAUGGAUGUGGAGAUAAAGUGGCUGAGGCGGAGACCCGAAUGAGAGAGGACAGCUAUGGAGUGAAAGGGGGAGAGAAGGAGGAUGACAUGCAGCAAAGGGCCUUGGAUUAGAAUUGAGCCUACAGCCGCUGCAGCAAGGACACAGCCUUUGUACAUGGGCUGCUUUACGAGGCUUCCAUUAAUGAAGAUCUGACUCCCUUUCUGUUCUCUCUCUACCACAACUGUCAGCCUCAUCCCAGACGAGGAUGACAGAGAAUACAGAGCACUGAUCCAGGGCUGGAAUCCAGUUCAGUGCAGGAAAACCCAAAAAGCUGGUGGUCUUCGUGACGGCUGACAGUAGGAGACUUAACACACUGAUAGCUCUGUCCUGGGAUGCUCCCUCGACCUGAUGGAGGUGGUGGAGAAUGAAAGCCAAGCCAACCUCUGUUAUAGACAACAUGUCCUACCCCAUGCAGGACACUGACAGCACCGGGCAGCUCUUUCACUGACAGGAGAGAUAAUGCAGGUCUGCCCUUCCUGCUGCUGUCAGACGACACAACCAACACUGCUCCCAGUGGACCACACAUACGAAAACUGUGGACAAUCAGUCAUCACUCAUGUGCAAAAUCUGCAUCUGUGUAUACCAACUGUGAAUUAUCUAUACUUGGUGCAUGCAAUAAUGUAAAUACUGCCACUGUCUGUUUAUCAUUAUAUGUUGCUUUUAAUUUGUGCUGCUUACAAUGAAUCACUCAGGUGCAGAAUCAGUAUUGUUAAACUGUGCAAUAUCUGUAUUUCCAUCCGGUCAAUGAUGUAAAAUCAGCCACAGUCCGUCUCUUUAUUAUAUUCAGCUUCUUUUUGAUGCUUCCUUAUUAUAUUGCUUUGUGUUUUUACACUGUUUGCUGAUCACACUGCUCUGUUUUUGUACACUUUACUUAUUUAACGUACUUAUAUACUGCUUUGUAUUUUUUUCUGAUGCUUCCUGUUUGCACUCUGUCCCUUUGCUGCAAAUUUCCCCGCUGUGGGACGAAUUAAGGAUUAUCUUAUCUGAUUAUCUGUCUGAACAAAUCAUGCAGCACUCUUAUUGCAGCUUCAUUGAAAGGGGGCACAUGUCUCCCACUAUUUGUUCUCCCAUCCAUC